This 2176-nucleotide long non-coding RNA is filed under the name Homo sapiens (human). RNAcentral's name for it is "HSALNT0212033". The record is from RNAcentral. Lineage: Eukaryota; Metazoa; Chordata; Mammalia; Primates; Hominidae.
GGGUGAAAGACAUUCACUACACCAGAGGAGACAAAGGAAGCACGUUGCUGUUAUUGCUGUUCAUGGCCUUCUUCCAACAGUAAGGGAAGCUAGUUUGAAGAUAAACUGUACAAAGGAAAGUAAAACAAGAGAAGUGCAGCGAAAUGGUGCCGGAGCCGUGAUGCAGCUACAACCUAGAGUUCUCACAAUCUCUUAAUUUCCUGCUGUCGGCGAUAAAUGUGAUCAUUUUGGCCGAUUUGGUUCAGUUUUUCUGUUCCGUGAAGCUGAAAGCAUCCUGACACAGGGCACACAAUGCUGUUGAAGCCAUCAGAGUACCAGGAUGCUGAUCUCCACGGCAAGUGCCUGAGCAGAGGGAGCUCAGUGAAGAGGAACUGCUCCAGCACUACACAGGCAUUCUUGGUAGCUGGACAGUACUGGACCCAUCACAAUUUCAAUACUGGGAAGAGAAAAGCCAGUCCUCUGGGGAAAGAUGAAGCACUGGACCUACAAACUAACUACUUUCAACCCCUGGAUGAAUCUAGGAGAUUAGUCCCGAUAUCAAGGCAAUGUCAAGAGUGAAGGGGAGGAUCAAGAUUUUUUUUGAGUGAUUGUUUCCUGGAAGGAGAAAAAAAAAUAACAAGAAAAUGACCAUGGAAAGUAACAACAACUGAAAACGGAUAAAAUGAAGAUGUGUGAAAGAGCACAAGAGUGCAAAACCAAAAGUAUACAAGGAGUGUUUAUGCAGUAACCACUUUAGAAUGCCUUUCCUCAUGUUUGAAGACUUCUAAACUAGGGCAAGGACAGAUCCCAGCAACUACUGGAAGCAUAAUAAAGGAGAAGAAUGAGGCAUUUUCUUCUCUCAUAUACAGAUUAUAUGUAAUUAGGAUGCUAAGGAUAAUUUUGUAACAUAAAAACGGAGAUGCUAAGGAGAAUGGUUUCACCCUAGUUUAUAGAAGGAGGGUAUACUAUGGUCUAUCAAAGACUGAAAAUUGUCCUCUGCUAAUAAAGUCUCAAAUCAGGGCAAUUGGAUUUCUUUCUUUUUUUUUUUUUAUUAUACUUUAAGUUUUAGGGUACAUGUGCACAAUGUGAAGGUUUGUUACAUAUGUAUACAUGUUCCAUGUUGGUGUGCUGCACCCAUUAACUCAUCAUUUACAUUAGGUAUAUCUCCUAAUGCUAUCCCUCCCCACUCUCCCAGCCCCACAACAGGUCCUGGUGUGUGAUGUUCUCCUUCCUGUGUCCAUGUGUUCAAUUCCCACCUAUGAGUUGAGUUAGAGUUACUAGUCUCAAAUAAAUGCUUGGUAAUGCCAUACAAUCUAAACAUGUUGUCACUGUCAACUCACUAUCUCAUAUUCUGCAAUGAUACCCUUCUAUAUUCUGAAAUUCCUUCCCCAUUCUCAGCAGAUAGCCUCAGAUCAUAUAUCAUACACACAAUUGAACAUAUCACAUAGAAAUUUCAUCAGCUCACUGCCUCCAAUCCAAUGAACCUAACAUCUACUAACAUCAACACCAUCCAGGAAACCAUGACCUCACCAGAUGAACUAAAUAAGGCACCAGGGAAAAAUACCAGUGAAACAGAGACAUGUGACCUUUCAGACAGAUAAUUCAAAAUAGCUGUGUUGAGGAAACUCAAAUUCAAGAUGAUACAGAGAAGGAAUUCAGAAUUAGAUAAAUUUAACAAAGAGAUUGAAAUAAUUAAGAAUCAAGCAGAAAUUCUGGAGCUGAAAAACGCAACUGGCGUAUUGAGAAAUGCACCAGAGUCUCUUAAUAGCAGAACUGAUCAAGCAGAAGAAUGAAUUAGUGAUGUUGAAGACAGACUAUUGGAAAUGCACAGUCAGAAGAGAAAAAAGAAAAAACAAUGAAGCACGCCUACAGGAUCUAAAAAAUAGCCCCCAAAGGGCAAAUCUAAGAGUUACUGGCCUUAAAGAGGGGGGGCUCAACACCCAAGUACAAAAAGGUUAGAGAACACCAAGUAGAUUUAAUCUAAAGAAGACUACCUUGAAUCGUUUAACAAUUAAACUCCCAAAGGUCAAGGAUAAAGAAAGGAUACUAAAAGAACCAAGAGAAAAGAAACAAGUAACAUACACUAGAGCUCCAGUACACCUGGUAGCAGACUUUUCAGUGGAAACCUUACACACCAGGAGAGUGACAUGGCAUAUUUAAAGUGCUAAAGGGUGGAAAAAAAGCCUUUUACCCUGGA